This 858-nucleotide ribosomal RNA is filed under the name uncultured bacterium. Its description in RNAcentral is "bacterial SSU rRNA". It matches the Rfam family "Bacterial small subunit ribosomal RNA", at positions 28 to 896 of the family's 1533-position model. The record is from RNAcentral.
GACGAACGCUGGCGGCGUGCUUAACACAUGCAAGUCGAACGAUGAAGCUGGAGCUUGCUCCGGUGGAUUAGUGGCGAACGGGUGAGUAACACGUGAGCAAUCUGCCCUUGACUCUGGGAUAACUGCGGGAAACUGUAGCUAAUACCGGAUACGACACCUUGGGGCAUCCCAGGGUGUGGAAAGAAUUUCGGUCAAGGAUGAGCUCGCGGCCUAUCAGCUAGUUGGUGAGGUAAUGGCUCACCAAGGCGACGACGGGUAGCCGGCCUGAGAGGGUGACCGGCCACACUGGAACUGAGACACGGUCCAGACUCCUACGGGAGGCAGCAGUGGGGAAUAUUGCACAAUGGGCGAAAGCCUGAUGCAGCAACGCCGCGUGAGGGAUGAAGGCCUUCGGGUUGUAAACCUCUUUUAGCAGGGAAGAAGCGAAAGUGACGGUACCUGCAGAAAAAGCACCGGCUAACUACGUGCCAGCAGCCGCGGUAAUACGUAGGGUGCAAGCGUUGUCCGGAAUUAUUGGGCGUAAAGAGCUCGUAGGCGGUUUGUCGCGUCUGCUGUGAAAAUCCGAGGCUCAACCUCGGACCUGCAGUGGGUACGGGCAAACUAGAGUGCGGUAGGGGAGAUGGGAAUUCCUGGUGUAGCGGUGGAAUGCGCAGAUAUCAGGAGGAACACCGAUGGCGAAGGCACAUCUCUGGGCCGUAACUGACGCUGAGGAGCGAAAGCGUGGGGAGCGAACAGGAUUAGAUACCCUGGUAGUCCACGCCGUAAACGGUGGGUGCUAGUUGUGGGCUCCAUUCCACGGAGUCCGUGACGAAGUUAACACAUUAAGCACCCCGCCUGGGGAGUACGGUCGCAAGACUA